Molecule: ribosomal RNA, 253 nt
Filed under: uncultured bacterium
Lineage: Bacteria
Description: partial 16S ribosomal RNA
Rfam family: Bacterial small subunit ribosomal RNA
Source: RNAcentral
UACGUAGGGGGCAAGCGUUGUCCGGAAUCAUUGGGCGUAAAGCGCGCGUAGGCGGCCCGAUCAGUCCGCUGUAAAAGUCCAGGGCUCAACCCUGGAAAGCCGGUGGAUACUGUCGGGCUAGAGUCCGGAAGAGGAGAGUGGAAUUCCUGGUGUAGCGGUGAAAUGCGCAGAUAUCAGGAAGAACACCCGUGGCGAAGGCGGCUCUCUGGGACGGUACUGACGCUGAGACGCGAAAGCGUGGGGAGCGAACAGG